This 509-nucleotide ribosomal RNA is filed under the name Anthracocystis chrysopogonis. RNAcentral's name for it is "LSU rRNA". It matches the Rfam family "Eukaryotic large subunit ribosomal RNA", at positions 126 to 613 of the family's 3401-position model. The record is from RNAcentral. Lineage: Eukaryota; Fungi; Basidiomycota; Ustilaginomycetes; Ustilaginales; Ustilaginaceae.
CGCCUUCGGCGUCCGCAUUGUAAUCUCAAGAAGUGUUUUCCGCUUCGGACCAUGCCUAAGUCCCUUGGAAAAGGGCAUCAUAGAGGGUGAUAAUCCCGUACAUGGCAUGGAGCGCCCGAGGCUUUGUGAUACGCUUUCUAAGAGUCGAGUUGUUUGGGAAUGCAGCUCAAAAUGGGUGGUAAAUGCCAUCUAAGGCUAAAUAUUGGGGAGAGACCGAUAGCGAACAAGUACAGUGAUGGAAAGAUGAAAAGAACUUUGAAAAGAGAGUUAAACAGUACGUGAAAUUGCCAAAAGGGAAGGGUAGGAGGUCAGAGAUGCGUCUUGGGAUUCAGCCUUGCUUUUGCUUGGUGUUUUUCCCAAGUUGCAGGCCAACGUCGGUUUUGGGCACUGGAGAAGGGUGGAAGGAACGUGGCACCUCUCGGGGUGUGUUAUAGCCUUCUACUGGAUACAGCGACCGAGACCGAGGACAGCAGCGUACUCGCAAGAGCGGGCCUUCGGGCACCUUUACG